AACCGUCAACGGAUCAGACCGUU
This 23-nucleotide non-coding RNA is filed under the name Arabidopsis thaliana (thale cress). The record is from RNAcentral. Lineage: Eukaryota; Viridiplantae; Streptophyta; Magnoliopsida; Brassicales; Brassicaceae.